GUUUAUAGAGUCAGAAGUCUAUCCCUAUUGUGAGCAGUAAUCACACCGCUAUCGUUUAGUGUUUAUGAUCUAAAAGUUGAUCUCGAGAGCCUUUAGUAAAAGCUACAUCAUUCCACGAAAGUUUGUGAACGAUCGAGUUGUUGGUGAAUUAUAUGAAUUCAGCAAGAUGAAUACAGAAAUCUUAGAAGCUGCUCAGUAAUGCAACUGAAAGACUGUAUUUAAUGAAGUUGUCCGUAACAAACUUCUAAGAUUUCUAGCCUUAAGUUGGGCAGAAAUCUGAUGCCGG
Long non-coding RNA from Armigeres subalbatus, 286 nucleotides. RefSeq lists it as uncharacterized. NCBI's taxonomy places the organism in Eukaryota, Metazoa, Arthropoda, Insecta, Diptera, Culicidae. The transcript is spliced from 3 exons. The record is from RefSeq and is a predicted model, not a curated record.